Molecule: ribosomal RNA, 468 nt
Filed under: uncultured bacterium
Lineage: Bacteria
Description: partial 16S ribosomal RNA
Rfam family: Bacterial small subunit ribosomal RNA
Source: RNAcentral
GACGAACGCUGGCGGCGUGCUUAACACAUGCAAGUCGAACGGAAAGGCCCUGCUUUUGUGGGGUGCUCGAGUGGCGAACGGGUGAGUCACACGUGAGUAACCUGCCCUUGACUUUGGGAUAACUUCAGGAAACUGGGGCUAAUACCGGAUAGGAGCUCCUGCUGCAUGGUGGGGGUUGGAAAGUUUCGGCGGUUGGGGAUGGACUCGCGGCUUAUCAGCUUGUUGGUGGGGUAGUGGCUUACCAAGGCUUUGACGGGUAGCCGGCCUGAGAGGGUGACCGGCGACAGUGGGACUGAGAUACGGCACAGACUGCUACGGGAGGCAGCAGUGGGGAAGAGUGCACAAUGGGCGGAAGCCUGAUGCAGCAACGCCGCGUGCGGGAUGACGGCCUUCGGGUUGUAAACCGCUGUCGCCUGUGACGAAGCGUGAGUGACGGUAAUGGGUAAAGAAGCACCGGCUAACUACGUG